Molecule: transfer RNA, 71 nt
Filed under: Cnephaeus nilssonii (northern bat)
Lineage: Eukaryota; Metazoa; Chordata; Mammalia; Chiroptera; Vespertilionidae
Description: tRNA-Asp
Rfam family: tRNA
About the family: Transfer RNA (tRNA) molecules are approximately 80 nucleotides in length. Their secondary structure includes four short double-helical elements and three loops (D, anti-codon, and T loops).
Source: RNAcentral
CCAUUGUUAGUAUAGUGGUGAGUAUCCCCGCCUGUCAUGCGGGAUACCGGGGCUCUAUUCCUCACAUGGGG